RNAcentral lists this long non-coding RNA (336 nucleotides) under Phasianus colchicus (ring-necked pheasant). RNAcentral describes it as "lncRNA (ENSPCLG00000003508.1)". The record is from RNAcentral. Lineage: Eukaryota; Metazoa; Chordata; Aves; Galliformes; Phasianidae.
GUUCUAGUGCUCACAUACCACAACAGAAUGUCAUCAUGUGCUCCUCUUGCCCUUAUUUCUCAACGUGAACAACAGAUCUCACAAAAGGACGCUGCACAAUUUCUUACUGUGUUUCAUAGGAAACGAAGUAAAACCAAAAGCCAAGAUUACAGCAAUUGCAGAAAAAUUGUGAUUUUUAGGAUCAAUAUUUAUCCAUGUGUAACAGAACGCAAACAUCCGGUCAGCUCCAUCGAGCUGCAGUUUCACUACACUGUAGUCACAGAACAAACAGAUGUUCCGUUUAUACAAGGAAGAUGGAAGGGUACAGAGGACAAGCGUGGUUAUUGCCAUAAUUAA